AGAACAAAGGCUCCGCCCAUUUCCAUGGCUCAAGGUGGUUAGUGGUUCAAGCGCCCCGACAAAAAAAAAGAAGAAAAGAGCACAAAAGAUUUUCUUCGAAAAAUCGCCACACCACCACGAAUUGAAAUCGAUCGAUUUGCGAACACUCAACUGAAAACAAUCAAAAAAUGCUGGAAAUAUCACCAUGGGAGACGUUGGUUAAGCUCUUGACAGAUUCAUUACUCAAUUGUACAGGAACUCAUGAAGAUGUACCACAUGCAAAAACAUUUCUUAGAUCGCUCACAACCACAUAUAUUGCCUCGCUGGCCGUGGCAACUGCAGUAACCGUGGGUACAGUAUGCCUUGCAGUUCUACAUCUCAUCUACAUUCACUUCUACAUCACACAUUCCAGUAGACGACUGCACAUUGUGCUUCUGGCAUGCACUGCGCCGCUAGUUUCCCUACUUGCACUUGUGGCAAUGUACAUGCCACGUGUAUGGUUUUUGUCUCAUCUUCUCUCGUUUCUCUAUUUUUCGUUUGCUCUCUGGGUCAUCAUAUGUCUACUUUUACACAUAUUCGAUGGACAUCAUGCCCUUGUCACGAAAAUGAUGCAGCGAUUACAGUAUGUUGAGAUAGCAACACCUCCAUUCUGUUGCCUAUUUCCAUGUCUUCCAAAAGUCCGACUGGAAGGAAAAAAGAUAAGAUGGUGUGAGCUGAUGGUAAUGCAAGCGCCGAUCGUUCGCUUAUUUGCCACACUUGUCUCGCUUGUAAUCUACUUUGAAUAUCAAGAUCAGGGCCUUGUGUGAGUAAUUUCAAAAACUCUAAAUGGAAUUGAUAAUCAGAAACCUGCUGCUUCCAAAUAUAUUGUUUAAAACGUUGAAAAAAAAGAAAAUGUUGUGGCUACAGUAUCCACGAGAAUGUUGCAAUUCUCCCCCGAGUUAUUCAAUAUUUUCUGACAUAUUUGCCAUUAAAGCAAUCUACUUAUUGAAGAAAAACUGAAUUUAUUUUUCUAAAAGUCUGCCCAUUCCUAAAUUUCUAAAUUUGAUAUCUCCAUUUAAUAAUUAUUUUUCAUUUCAGCCCACUAAAAGUGCUCGACUUUAUCACACUUCCAUCUCUUUUGGCAGGAAUCUACGGAACUCACAUAUUAGUCACAACGGUUUCUCGGAUGGAUGAAUUAAUCUCGUACAGAUAUGUUGUUGUAUUCCGUCUUCUUGAUUUCUUCUUCAUGGUGUUCGGAUUGCAACAACCAGUUUUUGAUUUUCUCGCGAGAUAUGGAGCAUUUGGAUGUGGUACUGUACUUCCAGCAAUUGAGACUUCUUUCUACUGGAAGAACUUCUUCACAGUAAUUGAAGCAUUCUGUGUCACAUUAAUCAGCACUGUACUUCUACAACCAUCAAAAUCAUCAUUCUUUGACAAACAUCCAAGCUGCCGAUCGAUGAGCUCUGCGCGGAGCACAAUAACUGAUGUGGACACUGACGAGUCGACCACUUGAGAAUAUUAUCAUUUUCUUCAUAUACAAUAGCUUUUCCCCCUACUUUCUCAAUCCGUGAUCCUCUUCCACUUUCUAUUGCAUUUUCUAGUCAACUGAUGUCAACUAACUUUUCAUCCCUUUGUCUCACCCGUUCGUCCUGUGUGCAAAAUGUCUUUGCUGGAAUUUGCAACAACCGAAAAUUUAAAAAUCCCAAAACGUGUAGAACCUCAACCCCCAGAAAUGGAAAUAAACAUUUUCGAACUCAAUA
This 1718-nucleotide unclassified non-coding RNA is filed under the name Caenorhabditis elegans. RNAcentral describes it as "long non-coding RNA NONCELT024624". The record is from RNAcentral. Lineage: Eukaryota; Metazoa; Nematoda; Chromadorea; Rhabditida; Rhabditidae.